RNAcentral lists this ribosomal RNA (585 nucleotides) under uncultured bacterium. RNAcentral describes it as "bacterial SSU rRNA". It matches the Rfam family "Bacterial small subunit ribosomal RNA", at positions 145 to 717 of the family's 1533-position model. The record is from RNAcentral.
AACUACCGGAAACGGUAGCUAAUACCGAAUAGUUGUUUUCUUCUCCUGAAGAGAACUGGAAAGACGGAGCAAUCUGUCACUUGGGGAUGGGCCUGCGGCGCAUUAGCUAGUUGGUGGGGUAACGGCUCACCAAGGCGACGAUGCGUAGCCGACCUGAGAGGGUGAUCGGCCACACUGGGACUGAGACACGGCCCAGACUCCUACGGGAGGCAGCAGUAGGGAAUCUUCCGCAAUGGGCGAAAGCCUGACGGAGCAAUGCCGCGUGAGUGAUGAAGGUUUUCGGAUCGUAAAGCUCUGUUGCCAGGGAAGAACGCUUGGGAGAGUAACUGCUCUCAAGGUGACGGUACCUGAGAAGAAAGCCCCGGCUAACUACGUGCCAGCAGCCGCGGUAAUACGUAGGGGGCAAGCGUUGUCCGGAAUUAUUGGGCGUAAAGCGCGCGCAGGCGGUCAUUUAAGUCUGGUGUUUAAUCCCGGGGCUCAACCCCGGAUCGCACUGGAAACUGGGUGACUUGAGUGCAGAAGAGGAGAGUGGAAUUCCACGUGUAGCGGUGAAAUGCGUAGAUAUGUGGAGGAACACCAGUGGCG